This 253-nucleotide ribosomal RNA is filed under the name uncultured bacterium. RNAcentral describes it as "partial 16S ribosomal RNA". It matches the Rfam family "Bacterial small subunit ribosomal RNA", at positions 524 to 776 of the family's 1533-position model. The record is from RNAcentral.
UACGGGGGGGGCAAGCGUUGUUCGGAAUUACUGGGCGUAAAGGGCGCGUAGGCGGCCCGUUAAGUCGAACGUGAAAUCCCCAGGCUCAACCUGGGAACUGCGUCCGAUACUGGCGGGCUUGAAUCCGGGAGAGGGAUGCGGAAUUCCAGGUGUAGCGGUGAAAUGCGUAGAUAUCUGGAGGAACACCGGUGGCGAAGGCGGCAUCCUGGACCGGCAUUGACGCUGAGGCGCGAAAGCCAGGGGAGCAAACGGG